AGAAAAUUUGAUUCUAGUUUUUAAGUUUAAUUUAUAUUUUUAUUAUAUGUGAAUUUUUGUAGGAUAAUUUAUUUAGAUAGUAGAUUAAAUGUAUUAGCAAUAAUUAAAUUUAUACAAUAAAAGUAAUUUUGAUAUAGGAAUAUAUAAGAGUAUUAGUAAAAUUUGUGCCAGCAACUGCGGUUAAACAAAUGAUACAAUUAAAUUUUAUUUAACAAUAAUAAAUAAGUAAAAUUUAAUUUAAAAUUAGAUUUAUUAGGUGAAAUUAUAAAUUUUGAAUAAAAUUAAUAAAUUGUUUAUAAAAUUAUGAAAUUCUAUUAUUAGACUAGGAUUAGAUACCCUAUUAUAAGGAAAUUAAAUAAAAUGUUAGGGGAGUAUUAGUUUAUGUUCUUGAAAUUUAAAGGAUUUGGCGGUAUUUUAAUCUUUUCAGAGGAACCUGUUCUAUAAUUGAUAAUCCACGAUUAAUUAUACUUGAUUUUUAUUAGUUUAUAUAUCGUCGUAGGUUGAAUAUCUUAAAAGAGUGAAAAUAUUCAUGAUUUAAAAUAAAAUUUUAUUAAAGGAAAUCAGAUCAAGGUGUAGCUUAUAGUUAAGGAGAAAUGGGUUACAAUAAAUUUAUUUAAAUGGAUAUAAUAAUUAAAAUUAUUAUUAAAAGUGGAUUUGAAAGUAAUAUAUUUUAUUUAAAAUAUAUGAUUUUAGCUCUAAAAUAUGUACAUAUCGCCCGUCGCUUUCAUUGAAAUUUAAAGUGAAAUAAGUCGUAACAUAGUAGGUGUACUGGAAAGUGUGCCUAGAUUGUC
Molecule: non-coding RNA, 791 nt
Filed under: Onthophagus falculatus
Lineage: Eukaryota; Metazoa; Arthropoda; Insecta; Coleoptera; Scarabaeidae
Source: RNAcentral